RNAcentral lists this long non-coding RNA (4361 nucleotides) under Capsicum annuum. RNAcentral describes it as "long non-coding RNA (CANN_LNC021647)". The record is from RNAcentral. Lineage: Eukaryota; Viridiplantae; Streptophyta; Magnoliopsida; Solanales; Solanaceae.
UCUGAUUAUCCACAUGAUCGUUUACAAUCCUUUCAGCAAGCACACAUUCUGCUUCAUCUUCUGACACAAUGUCUAUGAAUAUCUCAAACCAUUUUUCUAAAGAGGAAAUAAUACAUAUGAAUGUCAACCUUGUUAAUAAAAACCAACUAGCUAACUUAAGCAUGAAUGUUGGAACUCAACAUGUUUCUACUGAUGCUAAAACUUUUUCAGUAUUCCUCCGGUAUGCUUGUUUCUUUGUGCUAGUACCUUAUCAUAAAAUGCCUUGAUAUAAUCCAUCUUUGCAGCUAACAGUCUGCUUCAACUAUGGCCUUCACUCUUCUGGAUUCCCAAAUGUCCAAUUAGAAGAGGUCGAAAAUGCCUCCCCACUUCCAAAUCCCUUCACUCUGCCAGCUACUGAUUCACGUAAGAGACUGGAAUCCAAAAAGUGAUGAGUAAUAAGGGCAAUGAUACCAAUUUAAGCAAUUCACGAGUUAAAUUGUUUAAAUAAAGUAAAAAGGAAAGUCAGAGGAAAGAAGAUAUAACUGAUGAUUAUGUGAGGAGAUUCUGAAAUAUGUAAAACAAAGUCCUGUGAAGUGUGACCUCAUGUCCCCCCUUCGGCCCUUCCCAACUCAAAAGUCGGUUUACCCCGCAUCAAAUCCACUCUUCUAGCAAAAAUUUUCCACUAAAGGUAAAUGCAAAAUUAAAACUAUUUCAAAUUGUUAAUCCUUGUUGCUAUCCUUUGACUAUAUCGGCUAGAAUAUACGAUCUAUUAAAGUUCCUUAUGAGAUAACUUGUCAACUAUUCAAGAUAUGUUAAAGUAUCUGUCCUGAAAUACAUAGGCAUUUUAGUUUUUACUAUAGUAAAACUUGGGGAAAAAACAUAAGCAAAACACCAAUAUUUUACUAACUUACUCAAAUUAAUACAACCCAUUAACUAAAAAGAAGAAAAACAGAUUCGGUAAUAUUAGUAAAAAAGAUACUCCCUCCAUUUAAAAAAUAAUGACCUACUUUGACUUGGUACAAAGUUUAAGAAAAUAAAAAAGACUUUUGAAUCUUGUGGCCCUAAAUUAAAGUAAUAUCAUAUGUACCAAAAUGUCCUUUAAUCUUGUGGUCAUAAACAUGCCAUGUGGAAAGUUGAAAAUAAAGUAUUGUCAAAAAAGGAAAGGCCAUUCUUUUUUAAACGAACUAAAAAGAAAAAUAAGUCAUUCUUUUUUAAAUGGAGGAAGUAACAAUAAUAGAUAAAUAAAUAAACCACAAAGACCAAACGAAUAAAACAAAACUUACUCCCUCUGUCUUAAAAUAAUUGGCAUGUAUAGAUUUUGCACAACUUUUUAGAAAAAAAACUUAAUUAGUAGUGUGAUUUAACUAGUAUAUCCCUUCUUAAUUAAUUUUUUAAUCUUUAACUAUUUACAUGCCUGUUAAAUAUAAAAUAAUUAUUACUAAGAGUAGAAUUGAAAAAAAUUGAUAUUAUUCCUUGAUCCUUUAAAUAUGAUAAUUAUUUUGAGACAAAUUUUUUUAGCAAACAUGUCAGCUAUGGUGAUAGAGGAAGUAAAAACUAAAAUUUGCAUGAUAAUUCAAACAGGUAAUCUGUAAUCAAUAAAUUUGCCCAAUAUAUUUUUUUGACAACACUAAGCAUGUCUACCGCCGAAGACCAUAAACACAAUAAGCAACUAAGAGGACAUGUGCCAACCAUCCAAAAAUAAAUUAAAAUGACACAUGAUGAAUAAUGAUAUUCUAUCCAAUGAAUGAAAUACGCCUAGUUUUCAUAAGCAAGAAAAUCACCAGAUUAACAUGGGUACUAAGUUACUCUUUGAAAAAUGAUUUACCUUGACAAAAAUUUUUUUAAUGAAUAUUCGAUUACCGGUACUUACCAAACAGCAAAGGUUUAAUUGGUAACACAUAAAUAACUUGCAAUUCAAUUCAAUUGAUUGAAUUUUUAUGAUAUAGAUAUAUACUCCAUACUUAGCCUUCAACAGAUUACUUCAAAAUGAUGUAGUCUCAUCAUCAAACGACUUAAAAUACAGAAGAAAUCAGCAGUCUCUAACCUUGGUAAGCAAAUUUAAUCCUGGUAGGAUAUUUUCAUAAGCUUGUAUUACACUUUGUUCAAUCCCAUUAGCUAACUGACGGACAAAAUCAAGAUCAUAGAGCGAAAGAAGAUGUUCGACUAAUCUAUAUAAGGAAAUUAAUGAGAAACAGAUCUACAGAAACUACAAAUAACUUUGAAAAAAACUUACACGCACCCAAUGUAUGCACCAAGUCAAUACAUGCAUGUCAUAUGUUUGAAUUUGAAGUUCAUGUUACUUAACCAUGAUUAAUCAAAUGUAUUUUACUUAUUUUAAUUACACAACAGGAUAAAAUAUAUUAAUUUGAUGUAUAUAUCGGAUGCAUGUAAAUUUUUAUCAAUAACUUUGGUGACAUUAGCAAAUGCUUGAAAGUACUGACCCAAAAUUUUUGCUACAUGCUUGAAAUGACAUAAGCAAGUUGCGUUAAUGCAGCAAGAAAAUCAUCAAAUAUUCUACCAAUUUUUAAAACAUUAUUUAUAUAGAAGUAAUUUUUUUGAAUGAAUAGACGUGUAGCCACACUCACCAAAACAACAAAGAUUGGGCUGGUAACACAUAAAAAAUGUGCAAUUAAACUCAAAUGGCGGAUCAAUAAUCUAUUUCAAACCCCAUUUUAGCAUGCAAAACAGAGUAUUUCACAACAUAAUAAAUUGAGAUAUGUCACAAUGAUUGUUGCUAAUGAGCACAUUUUCGAUGAGAAUUUAAGCAAGCACUCACCACUUACCCUAGGUUAUCUUUCAUGAACAUUAUUAUUCUCCCUAUUGAAACUAAAAGUAUAUAUAUCAAACAACAACAAUAUCAGGGAAUCAUCAUCAAACAUGAAAAAAGACACUUUGCAAUGAAUUGCACCAAAUCCAAGACAAUCGGAAACUCAACUUUUGAUAGAAAACAAAGAAAUGGAUUGAAGGGGUAAUCCACCACCAUCAAUGUCACUACUGUAGCAUACUGAUUAAAAUCACAGGUUUUGCUGGUUCUCACGUGCGGAUAAUACGGCUAACUUGAAUAGAUCUAUUAUAGGUCUAAUGGAUCUAUUUUUAUUUGUGUGUGGAUAUUUCUUAACUUCUUUAAAUAUUUUUAUUUUUUAUUUGGGUGGUGAUUAAAUGGUAUUUGAUUAAAUGUUUUACCAUAAUAUUCUUUAGUUUUUUCUCUUAGUCUUUGUAAUUCUUAUAUAUUAUUUUGAAGGCAUUCUAAAUAUUCUAUAUCUUUUGUUCUAAAAUAUUCAAUUAAAUUCUCUUUCAUAAGUAUCUCUGUUAAUCUUAUUUCUUUCAUAUCUUGUCUCCAAUAUUUUAAAUACUCAUAGUCUAUCAUUUUAUCCUAAAGUAGUUGUGAUACUACAAAUUUCUUUAUAACAACUUAUUCUAAUUGUACUAUAUCUAAUGUUAAAUUCUAGGUUAUCUGUUUCGGUAAUUAUCCUGUCUUUUUCUUCUAUGAAUAGUUCUAUGUCUAAAUCAUAUUCUAAACUGCCUUUUAAUUCUAGUUGUUUCAUGAUUUUAUUUAUCAAAUUAAUCUUUCUUUUAAUUGUUCUCUUCCUUUUCUAAGUUGGUUUCUAUAAUUAAUUUCUUCGUAUAGCCAACUUUGUUUUUCUCUAACUCUUUUAAUAUAUUCUAACAUUUUUAAUCUGUAUAAUAUCCAUCUGAAUAACAACUAUCUAGGUAUGAGCAGUGGCUUUCAUUAUAUAAGUGUAAGUUUUCUAUAGAGCUUAAUAAAUCUUCAUUAAAAUAAAAUACCACGUCGUAUAUAAUUUUUCUUAUAUCUACUAUUUCUAUAUCCCUAAGUACAUACAAAACAAGUAUUUUAAAUUUAUCUAUCAUUCCAUCAGAUAAAUAGGUAGUCAUGCUUUUUCAUAUGAUGUUAUUUUCAAAAUAUUCCCUUCAAUCAUACACAUAACAAAGUAUGAUCAUUUUAGAUUACUAUAUACUAGAUUAUUCUUAAAUAACAUGUUCUUCGGUCACUAUUAGCACGGUAAUCUAGAUAUUUUUCCCUUAAACAGCGCCUCUACUCUGGCUACUCCCCUAUCACGGCUUUCUUGCCUCACCGGUUUCACCUUUAAGAUGGCAUAGUUCUUAGGGAUUUUUCUCCUUUUUCACUUUGCUAAUAAACUUCUUAACAUGCUAUUUUUCGAAUAACUCUACUAUAAAGUAACUAACAUGAACUUAUUUUAUCAUAUCAUGAUUGUUAGGAAUUUAACUAUUCAUAAUCAUAAAUAAAUAUACCUGUUCUGGUAGAUUUGAUAAUUCUGGGCUUUGUUCAUCCAUGACUUUUGCUUUGAAAUAUACUUUUUUAAUUAAACAUUCAAAAGUUUUUUGUUUACAAAGGAAGAGGC